Haliotis rubra (blacklip abalone) is the source of this 574-nucleotide long non-coding RNA. RefSeq lists it as uncharacterized. The transcript has 3 exons. The record is from RefSeq and is a predicted model, not a curated record. Lineage: Eukaryota; Metazoa; Mollusca; Gastropoda; Lepetellida; Haliotidae.
CAGGUUAUACCUGAUUGUGGCACAGAUCAGCAUGUAGUAACACUGGUGGAUUGUGUGUGUCCUGAUUGAACAGGUUACAUGUGAUUGUGGCACAGGCCAGCAUGUAGUAACACUGGUGGAUUGUGUGUGUCCUGAUUGAACAGGUUACACCUGAUUGUGGCACAGACCAGCAUGUAUUAACACUGGUGGAUUGUGUGUGUCCUCAUUGAACAGGUUACUCCUGAUUGUGACACAGGCCAGCAUGUAGUAACACAGGUGGAUUGUGUGUGUCCUGAUUGAACAGGUUACACCUGAUUGUGACACAGGCCAGCAUGUAGUAACACUGGUGGAUUGUGUGUGUCCUGAUUGAACAGGUUACACCUGAUUGUGACACAGACCAGCAUGUAGUAACACUGGUGGAUUGUGUGUGUCCUGAUUGAACAGGUUACACCUGAUUGUGACACAGGCCAGCAUGUACAUGUACUAUUCACACACCUCAUUACAUUCCCAUCUUAUGAACCAUGAGAUAGCAGUAACCUUUUCUGCCCAGAAUGUUUGAGAAGACCCACAUGGUAUUGUGCAACUUCAAAACACA